Molecule: transfer RNA, 72 nt
Filed under: Sphaerodactylus townsendi
Lineage: Eukaryota; Metazoa; Chordata; Lepidosauria; Squamata; Sphaerodactylidae
Description: tRNA-Ala
Rfam family: tRNA
About the family: Transfer RNA (tRNA) molecules are approximately 80 nucleotides in length. Their secondary structure includes four short double-helical elements and three loops (D, anti-codon, and T loops). Further hydrogen bonds mediate the characteristic L-shaped molecular structure. tRNAs have two regions of fundamental functional importance: the anti-codon, which is responsible for specific mRNA codon recognition, and the 3' end, to which the tRNAs corresponding amino acid is attached (by aminoacyl-tRNA synthetases). tRNAs cope with the degeneracy of the genetic code in two manners: having more than one tRNA (with a specific anti-codon) for a particular amino acid; and 'wobble' base-pairing, i.e. permitting non-standard base-pairing at the 3rd anti-codon position.
Source: RNAcentral
GGGGCUGUGGCUCAGGGUAAGAGCCUCUGCUUUGCAUACAGAAGAUGCCAGGUUCAGUCCCUGGCAUCUCCA